GACGAACGCUGGCGGCGUGCUUAACACAUGCAAGUCGAGCGGUAAGGCCCUUUCGGGGGUACGACGAGCGGCGAACGGGUGAGUAACACGUGGGUGACCUGCCCUUACGCUCUGGGAUAAGCCUGGGAAACUGGGUCGUAAUACCGGAUAUGACUCCAUAACGCAUGUUGUGGGGUGGAAAGCCUUGUGCGGCUAGGGAUGGCCCGCGGCCUAUCAGCUUGUUGGUGGGGUGAUGGCCUACCAAGGCGACGACGGGUAGCCGGCCUGAGAGGGCGACCGGCCACACUGGGACUGAGACACGGCCCAGACUCCUACGGGAGGCAGCAGUGGGGAAUCUUGCGCAAUGGGCGAAAGCCUGACGCAGCGACGCCGCGUGGGGAUGACGGCCU
RNAcentral lists this ribosomal RNA (389 nucleotides) under uncultured bacterium. Its description in RNAcentral is "bacterial SSU rRNA". It matches the Rfam family "Bacterial small subunit ribosomal RNA", at positions 28 to 417 of the family's 1533-position model. The record is from RNAcentral.